AACNUUUAACAACGGAUCUCUUGGCUCUCGCAUCGAUGAAGAACGCAGCGAAAUGCGAUAAGUAAUGUGAAUUGCAGAAUUCAGUGAAUCAUCGAAUCUUUGAACGCACCUUGCGCUCCUUGGUAUUCCGAGGAGCAUGCCUGUUUGAGUGUCA
Molecule: ribosomal RNA, 154 nt
Filed under: uncultured fungus
Lineage: Eukaryota; Fungi
Description: partial 5.8S ribosomal RNA
Rfam family: 5.8S ribosomal RNA
About the family: 5.8S ribosomal RNA (5.8S rRNA) is a component of the large subunit of the eukaryotic ribosome.
Source: RNAcentral